AAUAGAUACCCUGGUAGUCCACCCCGUAAACGUUGGGAACUAGUUGUGGGGUCCUUUCCACGGAUUCCGUGACGCAGCUAACGCAUUAAGUUCCCCGCCUGGGGAGUACGGCCGCAAGGCUAAAACUCAAAGGAAUUGACGGGGACCCGCACAAGCGGCGGAGCAUGCGGAUUAAUUCGAUGCAACGCGAAGAACCUUACCAAGGCUUGACAUACACCAGAACACCCUAGAAAUAGGGGACUCUUUGGACACUGGUGAACAGGUGGUGCAUGGUUGUCGUCAGCUCGUGUCGUGAGAUGUUGGGUUAAGUCCCGCAACGAGCGCAACCCUCGUUCUAUGUUGCCAGCACAUAAUGGUGGGAACUCAUGGGAUACUGCCGGGGUCAACUCGGAGGAAGGUGGGGAUGACGUCAAAUCAUCAUGCCCCUUAUGUCUUGGGCUUCACGCAUGCUACAAUGGCCGGUACAAAGGGCUGCAAUACCGUGAGGUGGAGCGAAUCCCAAAAAGCCGGUCCCAGUUCGGAUUGAGGUCUGCAACUCGACCUC
Molecule: ribosomal RNA, 544 nt
Filed under: uncultured bacterium
Lineage: Bacteria
Description: bacterial SSU rRNA
Rfam family: Bacterial small subunit ribosomal RNA
Source: RNAcentral